RNAcentral lists this ribosomal RNA (560 nucleotides) under uncultured bacterium. RNAcentral's name for it is "bacterial SSU rRNA". It matches the Rfam family "Bacterial small subunit ribosomal RNA", at positions 923 to 1482 of the family's 1533-position model. The record is from RNAcentral.
GCACAAGCAGCGGAGCAUGUGGUUUAAUUCGAAGCAACGCGAAGAACCUUACCAGGGCUUGACAUCCCCUGACGAAUGCUGAAAGGCAUUUUCCCUUUUAGGGCAGGGAGACAGGUGGUGCAUGGUUGUCGUCAGCUCGUGUCGUGAGAUGUUGGGUUAAGUCCCGCAACGAGCGCAACCCCUAUAGUUAGUUGCCAGCAUGUAGAGAUGGGAACUCUAACUAGACUGCCGGGGAUAACUCGGAGGAAGGUGGGGACGACGUCAAAUCAUCAUGCCCCUUAUGUUCUGGGCUACACACGUGCUACAAUGGCCGGUACAGAGGGCAGCGAAGGAGCAAUCCGGAGCGAAUCUUUAGAAAGCCGGUCUCAGUUCGGAUUGUGGGCUGCAACCCGCCCACAUGAAGCCGGAGUUGCUAGUAAUCGCGAAUCAGCAUGUCGCGGUGAAUGCGUUCCCGGGCCUUGUACACACCGCCCGUCACACCAUGGGAGUUGGGAGCGCCCGAAGCCGAUGGCCUAACAGCAAUGGAGGAGUCGUCGAAGGCGAGAUCAAUGACUGGGGUG